Drosophila mauritiana is the source of this 2146-nucleotide long non-coding RNA. RefSeq lists it as uncharacterized. The record is from RefSeq and is a predicted model, not a curated record. Lineage: Eukaryota; Metazoa; Arthropoda; Insecta; Diptera; Drosophilidae. The transcript has 2 exons.
UCGAUACCAGAAACAUUUUGAAAUUUCGCGUUCGCAUUCCCAGUAGCUGAUUAACGAAUUAACCAUUCUCUCUUGUUUAAUAAUAAAUAGUCUAGGUUGUUAGUAUUUCGGCUACUUCUCAAAACCUAAAGCGCCUAGCAACAAAAAGAAAGGCCGAUAAUGGAAUGUUGAGAGCCCCGACAACAAUAAGGUUAAUGCCACCUACUGCCACCCUUUCUAGCGACCUUUGCCGACCAUAUAAUGACACUUGGGUUUGUUGGGUUCACUCACGAGCCGCCCUCAAAGAACCGCUCAUAAAGGUAUGAGCAUGUGGGGUUUUUGGUUCAUUUAGUUCUUAUCAGCCCUACUAGUUCCCUUUUGCUCGCUUGCAGCUCUCCAUCUCUCUUCUUCCUUGUCUAUCUGUCUCGCUCUGCGCACAUACAGCAGCUUAAGAAAUAUAUACAAAUCUUCGACAAUGGCCAACAACGAAAAAUGUCAUCGACCCGCGUCAAUGGAGCGGCGAAGCAAUGGAGCAAUCGGCCAAGCGAAAGAGUCACAUGGUAGAUGGGAUGAAAUUAUAAUAAAUUUAAGGUACAAUAACCCACCGACAAGCAGUAGUGACCCCGGAUUUUUGUGAUAAAUGUAGUAUUUACAAUUAUAUUAUAUACCAUAAAACCUGAGGUUACUUUGAUUAGAGAGAAUACUGCAAAUAGGAUAGCGAGUAAGAUAGGCAUGUAUAAGCGCCUUAUAACUUCUUAAUUACAAUGGAAUGGCUUGAUAGCUUUGGUCAGUGAUCAAAAAUAUACACAAUUAAGCUUUUACAUAGUACAUAGCUUUCAACGAAUGUAAUGAAGCUGCACAGAAAAAACUAAAUUGUACUUGAUUAAAGUAAGUGCGUACUAAUUCAACAAGAUCUGAGCUUAAGAUGACUAUUAAGUCUCAUAAAUUUUGUAAUCAAACAAACCAUCACAUCAGAGAUGUUAAAGUGCACUGAAUGCUUGGUAACUUAAUAAACGGUGUAGUGUGUUCCAGGAACCAAUUCUAAUAAAUCAAAAUACUAAAAUAUAUUCUUUCCCCUCGCUAAAAUUGUUUAGCGAAGACAAAAACCCACGCACUGCACAAAGACAAAAUCGAGAUAGCGACAGAGAGGGACAUUAAAAAAAAGCCCGCUGGGGAAGAGAGAGCGAACGAGUAAAAAGCGACGCGCAGAAUAAGCAAAGGACGACCUUCAAAUAAUGUUGAAUUUUGUACGCAAACGACCUUGCACAAACCAACAACAACCAUAGCGACGACGGCGGCGGCGAAGCAAACCACGAAGAAGAAGACGCAGCACCGAAGUCAGCUCCACACACACCCGCGAGAGACACACAUACACAAAGUAAAACGUACACAUGCGCUGCCGGCACACAAAAGAUGGGGCAGACAGAGAAGAGAGAUGGCGAGAGAGCGCUUAGCGCUCGCUAUCUUUUUUUGUGGUUUAAGAAAGAACAGAAAUACUCUUGAUGAUGUAUGUAUGCAUGUGCGAAAUUGGCAGAAAAUAAAAUAAGCAAAAUUGUCUUUCCAUAUACAUGCAUAUGUUUGUAAAUGCAUACAAAUAUGAAUAAAGAAAUAGGAAUAAGAUUGACUCUCAGCUAAAGUUGCGUGGGAGCGCCGCAAAGGAGUUUCGUCAGGGGACGGGAAAGGAACUACUCGUGCAUAUGUAUGUACACACAUUCGUCAAUACUCAUGAUGAUGGCCCGACAAAUGCAGCCAACCAUGGUUUCGAUAAUGGCUUCUCUUUUCGGCCUCUCGGUUUCCGGUUUUUACCCUUGUCCCUCUCGUAGUUGUAUCCCGAGGAUAGAACUGUACCCAUACAGAUGGGGCCUCGUUGUUGUUGCUCACGAAUUAAGAGCACCAUCGGGCGGAAGUGUUGUUACACUUGGAGCUUGUUCUUCAUGCAGCGGUACCGAUUGAUGGAACCCAAAUAUAAUUGAGCGAUUCCUGGUGUAGCAUUGGGUCUUGCACAGGAGAAAAGGAUUUUAAAAGCCAUGCGACCGCAUGUACAAAAUUAAUAUUGAUCAUUUCGAGACUUUACGAUGGACAAAACCAGAGACUGCUAUUCUUAUGAACAGCCUAAAAGUGGUGAAUUUGCUCAAGAAUGUAAAUAAAAAAAGGAUAACAUGAAAAA